RNAcentral lists this ribosomal RNA (403 nucleotides) under uncultured bacterium. RNAcentral's name for it is "partial 16S ribosomal RNA". It matches the Rfam family "Bacterial small subunit ribosomal RNA", at positions 30 to 526 of the family's 1533-position model. The record is from RNAcentral.
AUUGAACGCUGGCGGCAGGCCUAACACAUGCAAGUCGAGCGAGCGGCGGACGGGUGAGUAAUGUAUGGGGACUGCCCGAUAGAGGGGGAUAACUACUGGAAACGGUGGCUAAUACCGCAUACUAUCGGAUAACCCAUAUGGGAUUAGCUAGUAGGUGGGGUAAAGGCUCACCUAGGCGACGAUCUCUAGCUGGUCUGAGAGGAUGAUCAGCCCCACUUGGACUGAGACAAGGCCCAGACCCCUACGGGGGGAGUAGUGGGGAAUAUUGGACAAUGGGCGCAAGCCUGAUGCAGCCCUGCCGCGGGUAUGAAGAAGGCCUUAGGGUUGUAAAGUACUUUCAGGGGGGAGGCGUUACCCGCAGAAGAAGCCCCGGCUAACUCCGUGCCAGCAGCCGCGGUAAUAC